RNAcentral lists this ribosomal RNA (503 nucleotides) under uncultured bacterium. Its description in RNAcentral is "partial 16S ribosomal RNA". It matches the Rfam family "Bacterial small subunit ribosomal RNA", at positions 30 to 523 of the family's 1533-position model. The record is from RNAcentral.
AUUGAACGCUGGCGGCAGGCUUAACACAUGCAAGUCGAGCGGGGGGAGGUAGCUUGCUACCGGACCUAGCGGCGGACGGGUGAGUAAUGCUUAGGAAUCUGCCUAUUAGUGGGGGACAACAUCUCGAAAGGGAUGCUAAUACCGCAUACGUCCUACGGGAGAAAGCAGGGGAUCACUUGUGACCUUGCGCUAAUAGAUGAGCCUAAGUCGGCUUAGCUAGUUGGUGGGGUAAAGGCCUACCAUGGCGACGAUCUGUAGCGGGUCUGAGAGGAUGAUCCGCCACACUGGGACUGAGACACGGCCCAGCCUCCUACGGGAGGCAGCAGUGGGGAAUAUUGGACAAUGGGGGGAACCCUGAUCCAGCCAUGCCGCGUGUGUGAAGAAGGCCUUAUGGUUGUAAAGCACUUUAAGCGAGGAGGAGGCUCUUUUGGUUAAUACCCAAGAUGAGUGGACGUUACUCGCAGAAUAAGCACCGGCUAACUCUGUGCCAGCCGCCGCCGUAA